This 494-nucleotide ribosomal RNA is filed under the name uncultured bacterium. Its description in RNAcentral is "partial 16S ribosomal RNA". It matches the Rfam family "Bacterial small subunit ribosomal RNA", at positions 28 to 507 of the family's 1533-position model. The record is from RNAcentral.
GACGAACGCUGGCGGCGUGCUUAACACAUGCAAGUCGAACGGAAAGGCCUGCUUUCCCUUGUGGAUUGCGGGUACUCGAGUGGCGAACGGGUGAGUAACACGUGAGUGAUCUGCCCCCAACUUGGCUAUAAGCCUGGGAAACUGGGUCUAAUUCCCGAUAGGACUGCAGGGUGGUGCCUGUGGUGGAAAACGAUUUUCUAGUGGUUGGGGAUGAGCUCGCGGCCUAUCAGCUUGUUGGUGGGGUAAUGGCCUACCAAGGCGGCGACGGGUAGCCGGCCUGAGAGGGUGGACGGCCACAGUGGGACUGAGAUACGGCCCAGACUCCUACGGGAGGCAGCAGUGGGGAAUAUUGCACAAUGGGCGGAAGCCUGAUGCAGCGACGCCGCGUGGGGGAUGACGGCCUUCGGGUUGUAAACUCCUUUCGACCGCGAGGAAGCCACCUGGUUGGAAGGGUGGUGACGGUAGUGGUAGAAGAAGCACCGGCUAACUACGUG